RNAcentral lists this long non-coding RNA (19068 nucleotides) under Gossypium raimondii (Peruvian cotton). RNAcentral's name for it is "long non-coding RNA (GRAI_LNC000909)". The stretch from base 17404 to 17527 matches the Rfam family "MIR7504 microRNA precursor family". Lineage: Eukaryota; Viridiplantae; Streptophyta; Magnoliopsida; Malvales; Malvaceae. The record is from RNAcentral.
CAAUAUAGAUGUAUUGAAGCAUACUCAAAUUCCCAAUUUCUAUUGGUAGGCUCCCCUCCAUUUGGUUAUACGCUAAAGAUAACAUUUGUAACUCUUUGCACUUGAAUAGACUGGCAGGAAUUCUACCAGAAAGCAGGUUACGACUCCAGUACAAUCCUUUCAAAUUUGGAAGAUGAUCAAACAUAUCUUUUGGGAUAUGACCAGUGAGAUUAUUGGAGGAGAAAUGGAUGACUUCUAGCAAAAGCAAAUCACGUGGAACAGAGGGUAUGGAACCAGAAAGCAUAUUGUAGCUUAGAUAUAUUUCUUGCAACGAAGAGAUAUUGAAGAUGGUGGAGGGAAUUGAACCUGAAAUCUGGUUUCCAGACAAAUACAAGACCUCUAGCUUUGACAAAUAGGCUAAAGAGAAUGGAAUAACACCUUUGAAGUUGUUUUGGUCCAAAAACAACCUUCGAAGUUCAGUUAAUGAUCCCAACCAUGAUGGGAUUUCUCCACUGAAGGAGUUGUUACCAAAGCUUACAUAUUUCAGCCGUCGCAAAUUGGAUAACUGGACAGGUAAUCCGCCAUAGAAACUAUUGUUUGUGACAUGAAGAAGAGAAAGGAAUGACAAAUUUCCCAAGUGAGGUGGAAGGGUGCCUACGAGUCCCAACCUAGUAAGGUUUAGAGCUGUGACUCUACGGUGCUUGGAUCCACAACUUACACCAAACCAAUUGCAAACAGGGGCAGAGGCUGACCAGUUAGUCGUCAAGACAUUUUCAGGAUCCUGAAUAACAUGAUCUUUUAGUGCUAGAAGAGCUGACUGAUCUGUAAGUAUGGUUGUUAAUUUCAUAGAGAAAGUAGGCAUAGAGAAAUGGAAGAUGAUAAGAAGAGCUAAGUUGAGGAAAGUAUUCCCCAUUUGAAUUUGGGUGUUUAUGAAGCUACCAACAAAGGCAGAACGGAGAUUGCUAGACAGAUAAUUGAAUGAUCACUAACCGUAUGACCACACAACUUUUACAUAAUACGUGUAUGUAUAUAUAAAGGGAGUUUAUGUUGUAAUUUCUUCAUGCAAGAUUGCAAAUUAAUAUGAUUUACGUAGAAAUUACGGAAUUUAUUAUAAGACGUGAUAAUAUAAUUAUGUAAUUAUUGCUUAAAAUUUUUCUUUCUAAAUUUCAUAUUUCUUAAGAAAUUACAGUAAUAAAUUUUACAUAGAAAUAACAUUAACAUUAUUGUCAGUACAGGAGAAUGUGAAUUUAAAUGCAUUGAAACACAUUUAUCUUCUUAUAUAAGUAUUAGCAAAAAAAAUUAUGGAUAGUUCUAGACAUGUUAUAAAAAGAAUUUGAUAUAACAAGAUUUAGAAAAUAAUUUGCAUUAUUUAUUUUAGGAAAUUAUUGAAUAAAGAGAUCAAGAAUUUUAAAUUUAAAAAAUUUUAAAUUUAAAUCAUAACAGGAGAAGGAGUUUAGUUACUUUACAAUUAUCCAAGAUGGAUUAAAUUUGGUUUUAUAUCUAAGAUAUCAAAACCGUAAUUAGGUUAUGAUAAGCAUUAAACUAAAUUAUUGGAAUAAAAAUAUAGGUGAAAUUAUUAAUAAAAGCUGUUUUUUUUCAAAAUUUACUGAAAUGGGCUGAUUUUUUGAUUAUUUACCGGAAUGGUCUAUUUUCCGGGAAAUCGCGUCCACGUCAGAGCGAUGUCAGGGUACGUGUCAGGACAUUGCGUCCACGUCAGCGCGACCUGCUUACGUGGAAGGAAAUCGUGUCCUUGAGGGAGCGAUUUCCUUCCACGUCAGCAGGUCACGCUAACGUGGACGCGAUGUCGGCCGCGUGUGAACAGUACCCCAACGGUCAAAAAUUUGACCGUUGCCCCCCCCAACGGUAAAAAAAAACUAUAAAUACCCCCACCCCUUUUUUUUUUCACAAACAAAUCCUAUCUUCAAUUUCCUUCCAAAAUUCUCUCAAUUUCCUUCCAAAAUUCUCUCAAACCCAUAUUUAAUUUCAAUUUCCUCUCAAUUUCCUUCCAAAAUUCUCUCAAAUCCAUAUUUAAUUUCAAUUACCCCUCAAUUUUAUUUUUUAAAAUAAUUUUUAUAUUUUUAUAUUUUUUAAAAAUAAUUUUAAAUUUUUUUAUAAUUUCAUCAAUGGCCGGAUCAUUGAUUCGUCUUGAUAGGAUUCACAUAUCGGUGGAGCAAAUGAAAAUGGUAAGUAUUAAAUUUAAUUUUUAAAUAUUAUUUAAGAUUUUUUUAUUUAUGUAUUUUUAGAUAAUUAUUAAUUUAUUAUUUGUUAUCAAAGUCUGCAGAUCAGAUAUUGGAAUGCAAUAUCCGGAAUAUGCAUGCUCCUCCAUCACCGUUAGUAGAGAACUACCUGUGGGAAGCGGGUUUUUGGCACGUGGCGACGGUAGUCCGGGGAUGCAAGUUGGACCCGAAACUGAUUAGUGCGUUGAUCGAGAGGUGGAGACCCGAGACGCACACAUUCCAUCUUCCAUGUGGAGAGUGCACUAUCACUCUAGAAGAUGUCAGUCUGCAGUUGGGAUUCCUGGUGGACGGGCACCCAGUCACCGGGUCUGCCCAAUCUAGUAAUUGGGAGGCAGUGUGCUACGAGCUUUUGGGCGCUAUUCCGGAUAAAAUGGAUGGAGGUAAGGUCGAGAUGGGCUGGUUACGUGCCACCUUCCCCGAUCCGAAUGCAAAUUCAACUGAAAUUGAAAGAAUCUGAUAUGCUCGAUCAUACAUUUUUCAAAUAAUUGGAGGUUAUCUGAUGCCCGACACAUCACAGAGCCGUGUACAUCUAAGGUGGCUGCUAAAACUCGUUGAUUUUAGAGGAGCUGGUGAAUUUAGUUGGGGGUCUGCCGUCUUGACAACAUUAUAUCGGGAGAUGUGCGAGGUGACGCGACCGAGGAGAGCAAACAUCGGAGGUUGCCUGUCACUACUGCAAUCAUGGGCACGGUUUCGCUUUCCAUUUCUACAUCCUCGAGUGAACCACCCAUAUACAUUCCCACUCGUAACGAGGUAAAUUUUAUAUUACAUUUUGGAAUUAUUAUGUAUAUUUUGUAAGAAUAAAACUAUGCUAAAUAUUUAUUUAAUUAGGUGGAACCAUCAGGCAAGUUAUCGAGGAUUACCGUCUGAACUUGAAGAUAUACGGCUUCUAUUGGAGCAACGGUCGGAAGCAGAAGUAAGUAUUAUUGCAAAUAGAUAUUUCCAUACAUUCGCUAGUCGAUUGAUAUUUAGUAUUUAGUAUUUAGUAUUAUGUAUAUAACUAAUAUUUCUAUCAUGUUCAUAUAGUUUCAAUGGACACCAUACGAGGAUCCGGCAAUUCGAGUAGUAAUCCAGGAAGAGUUUUUACAAAAUCCGAACGCUUGGCACGCGAAAGUGGUGUUGAUCAACUAUGCAACCGUGGAGCCCCACCAGACAGAUAGAGUGCUACGACAGUUUGGAUGUAGACAACCGAUUCCUGCGGACCUUGAGGUGUUUGACGAUCACCACAAAAUCGACCUUCGGCUAUUAGGUAUGGAUUGGCCUAGAUACUGGUCCGAGUACACACAAAUGUGGGAAAAUCGGCUUGAAUAUCUACCUACUCGGGAAGAAAUCAUCGUUCCGGAGUUAGCGUGCGUUCCAGAAUACAUGCCAUAGUUUAGGAUCCAUGGCAAGCCGUAUUUACUUAAGCCAGAGGAUAGGCAGCGGCAAAUACGUGUCGGCAAGGAAAGGCGUGGGCCUCUAAAUCCAAGACAAGAAUACUACGAAGGCAGCCCCUCAACAAGGCCCAGACAGUCACCGGCUCAUCAUCAGCGGCCAUGCAAUCACCUUCCCCAAUGAGAGCAUCGACGCAGUCACCUGGCGCAACAAUUCAACAGAUGAUACCCACGCAACCGCCUUUCCCUAUGAUGCCAGGUGUGUUUCCUAGCCCUUAUAUGUACCCUAACCCUUACAUGUAUCCUUUUCCGAAUCCUAUGGCAGGUUGGAGCCAAAUGCCCGGUUCAGCUCCAUUUCCUGUUAUGCCGAGCGGACCGCCGAUAUCUAGGCCAGCGGCGCAGGAGGGAUCGCAAGGGGGGCCGUCGGGAAGCUCUCCUUUUUACCAAUCGCCACCAACGUAUGGCUUUCAAACACCGUCGUCGUUCAUGAUGCAAACACCUCCACAUACACUAUUCUUUGAAGGUGGAUCAUCGUCCCAAGUCCGACAACCAGAUGCCAAACCGGAAGAACCACAAUCACCACCGGAGGAAGAACAACCGCCGCCGGAAGCUAGAGGAAGGAGGAAUCUAGCGCGUAACCGUCGACGACCGCCAUGUGCAACUGAAUCCCCCGGGCAUAGACAUUGAUUGCCGUAUUUAAAUUUAUUAUUUGAUGUAAUAAAAUAGAAGUUUAUUUGAUGUAAUACGCAUAGAAAUUUUUUCGAGUUAUUUUGAUAUUAUUUGAUGUAAUAAAAUAGAAGUUUAUUUGAUAUAAUAGGCAUAGAAAUUUUUUCGAGUUAUUUUGAUAUUAUUUGAUAUAAUAAAAUAGAAGUUCUAUUUGAUGUAAUAAAAACCAUAAUUUAAUUAAAAACCCUAACCAUAACCUAACUUAAUUAAAAACCCUAACCCUAACCUAACUUAAUUAAAACCCUAACCCUAACCUAACUUAAUUAAAAACCCUAACCCUAACCAAACUUAAUUAAAAACCCUAACCCUAACCUAACUUAAUUAAAAACCCUAGCCCUAACCUAAUUUUACAUAAUUUGAUAAUUUUACUAACCAUUAACACAAUUUUUGGACUUAAUAAUUUUACAUAAUUUGAUAAUUUUACUAACCAUUAACACAAUUUUUGGACUUAAUAAUUUUACAUAAUUUGAUAAUUUUACUAACCAUUAACAAAAAAAUUUUUGGCUUAAUAAUUUUACAUAAAUUUACAUAAUGUUAGAUUUGGUAAAAUAUUUUGACUGGUACUAACAAUUAAGAAAUUAAACUAAUUUGAUAAUUUUACUAACAAUUAAUACAAUUAUCAAUUAAUAAUUGAAUAAAAUAUAUUUUUUUCUAAAAUUACAUUCAACUAUUGCGAUUAGGGCAUGAUCGACUUGUAUGGCCUGGGUUCCUACACCAUCUGCACAACUUCUGUUGACUGGCUGUUUCUCGGAUAUCCAUAUUGUUCCGUAUUCUAGUGGAGCACGGUCGACCCUUUAGUUUGCGACGCAAUUCUCUAUCCGGUAACAGCUUAAAAGGAGCAAGAGAUACGGGCGGCCACUUACGUUCAUCUGGGACCGGUGGGAAAACGUGUCUCCAUACGUUGUACAUGUUUUCUAAUUUGUACACUUCGUCCACAUAACUCAUCGGAUCCAGACGGAGUUUCUGACAAGCUGCAAUAACAUGAGCGCAUGGAUAGCGAAGUGCAUCAAACUUCCCACAGUCACAAGUCCUGUUUUGCAAGUGUACACUAUAUUGUCCGCCAACAACACCUUGGUGCGGUCUGUCAAACUCUGUCACACGAAACCAUAAAUUGUCUCGAUCGUGACACACUGUGUGCAUGAUGUUUGCCCUCGCCUUCGCCUUGUUAAUUUCUUGAACUACCUUACUGCACCAUACAUGGCCACCCUGCAUCUGGCCUGCAUAAGUUGCUGCUCGCUUUGGAAAUAGCGCCGCCAAACGGAAAUAUGUCUCUCGCACAACUGAUGUUAUCAGUAGAUGGCACGUUCCUUUAAUAACAGAAUUUAUGCAUUCUGCCAGGUUUGACGUCAUAUGGCCAUAUCGCAGGCCUCCGUCGUAUGCUUGUACCCACUGUUCGAAACGUAUGUUACAAAGGUAGUCUGCCCCUUCUCCGUUUUGGGAUCGUAAAAUUACCAACAUCUCGUGAAAACGAUCUUUAUUUAUUUCAUACCCCGCCAAUAUAAGAUUAUAGCGAAUAUUUUAUACCAUUUCUACCAAUAAAACUAAUUCAAAUUGACAAACGAAAUAAUAUAGUUAUAGACUAAAUACCCAUAUUGGUCACUUGUCGUCGUUCGCUCUUAGAUGGAUAUUGCCUGUAGUAGUUCGAAGCAACGUAUCUUAGGCAAUAUCUAUGGUGUGUGCGCUGCCACAAGCUUCCCUAUCGAUCAAAUGCAGCUAGUAUACCGGCGCCCCGAUCUGAAAUAACAUAGAUAUCAGGUUGGGGGCACACAUGCCUCCUUAACCUAGAGAGAAAGAAAUCCCAGUCAUCAGACAACUCCCCCGGUGUUAUUGCAAAUGCAAUUGGAAGAAUUUUCCCACCGCCGUCCUGUGCCAAUUUGUACAUGAAGGUACCGUCAAUUUGUACCAAUGGCUUGCAGUAUGGAAAUGCGUCUCGGCAUUGCUUAAAGGUCCAAAAUAGGCGUUUGAACACUUGACAUCCACGUAGCAAUCGGCCGUUGUAGUACGCAUGUUCCGUUUCAAGGUCUGUGAUGGCACUUGGGACGUAUCUCUCUAGCACCUGACACCACUGUCAUAUUUCAUUAUAUGAGGCGUCCCACCCACUAUGCAUCUUCUCCAACGCCUUUUGCUUAGUUAUCCAAGCCUUGCGGUAAGAGGGCGUGUACCCCAUUUGGCUAUGGAUAUUGGCAAUUAUCACCGACACUGAAGUCCUAGGAUCUGCUUUUAUCAUGGGCAGUAUCAAGCUAUCUAACAUAGCUGAAUCCAUUUUGGGAUGAUCUUGUGAAACACCUACAGAGGGAGUACAUUAAAUAAUGCAACAUUGCAAAAUAAAAUAAUUAUUUAGAUACAUUAAAUCAUGUACCUGCAGCACAUGUAUGUGGACCUUUGUACUUUUUUAUCUCCCACAACCUUGUCCUUUUCCUUAACGAGACGACGAUUUUCCAUGAACAUGUGCCGUCUUACACCGCACACUUCGCCUCAAACUUAUCAGAUUUUGAUUUAAAGACGUGGUCAUUAACGCCGUUUUUGAUGCUAUGCUGUUUCAAAGCACCAAUAAAACUAUCCUUGUUGGUAAACUGAUUACCAACGUCAAGUUCACCGAAAUUUACCCCCGAACUUGUACGAUCGCACAACCGGUGUGGUAGAUCUGGAAACUCUAACGCAUCAUCUGCUGACAGAUCGACAUUAUGCAUGUGGGCUGGAGGUGAGUAUGCUUUGAAUCGUGGAUUUUCUUCAUCAUCUGAACUCCUUUCAGCAUCUUCACCUUCUAUUGGAAUAGGCUCCGGUUCAGAAAAUAAUCUCACUUCUGCACCAUCCGGCCCGGGCUCUCGAGGUGGAUCCACAUCGGAGUCAUCUUUUAACCCACAAUCAUCUGCAGCGUACGACGUCCCUUCACCGGUUGACGUCGUAGGUAGUACGCCAUCCCUUCUUCUGGGUAUUUGAUAACGUUUCCAAUUAGAUGUAGAUUGCCAUCCAUUAGAACUUGAUGCAGUUCCCCAGUACGUAUUUCCAGCAUCAAACGUCGAGCCACCGACGUAUAUGUCCCAUCCACCGACAGAGUGUCUUGCGGGGGAUGCAUUCGACAGCGCUACCGAACAUGGGCUGUUCUAUAUUUUGUAACCCGCUAACCGAGUGUCGGCCAGGGGUCGUGUAUACAUCUCAAACACCAGACGGAAGUACAUCAGUUGGCAACGUAAAUUGUACAUAUAACUCAAUAUAAGUUGCUCCACUAGCAAGAUGAGUCUCCACCAUUGCCUCCAAGCUACGAGCACAUUUUCUGUCGAACGAGUCAUAUGUCACCGGAUCAACACAAGAACAAAAUCAAUACGUGAUUGACAAAACUUUCAUUGGCAUCGUUCCGAAGAUUUUACGCCUAAUUCUUUUACGAAGUUCUGUCAAAUCUAUGUUCUGGUUAAAUGACAGUCACACCGUAUUCUCCGACUAAAGAACAACACCAUUCUCGGUGUGGCAAACCUCACCAUCCUAGUAAAUAACAGCACUAAUACGUUCACUCAUUUUGAAACUCUAACUUUCUUAGCCUCUCUAAAUUGUUUCUGCUAUGACUUAUGCAUUCUAAGAACAUUUUCUGCCUAGUUUAUAGCCUCAGCUCAAACUUGCUACUGCAGCAAAAUCGCGUCCACGAGGGCGCGAUUUCACAAUUUCUUCUCAAAUAACAUCCUGGUACAAGCGAUUUUAUACUAUUUGCUCAGAAACGUCAAAAAAAUUUAUUUCUUACAUGACCUACUGUAGCAAAAUCGCGUCCACGAAGGCGCGAUUUCACAAUUUCUUCUCAAAUAGCAUCCUGGUACAAGCGAUUUUAUACUAUUUGCUCAGAAACGUAAAAAAAAUUAUUUCUUACAUGACCUACUAUAGCAAAAUCGCGUCCACGAGGGCGCGAUUUCACAAUUUCUUCUCAAAUAGCAUCCUGGUAGAAGCGAUUUUAUACUAUUUGACCAGAAACGUCAACUCGAAAUAAUUUAUUCCUGGACCUAAAAAUCCUAAAAAGCCUGAACCUUAAACCCUAAAAGCCAAAAAAACCAAACGUGAAAAAAAAGUCAAAAUCACGUCCCCCGGAAUGCGCUACGUGGCAGGACAUCGCGUCCACGUCAGCGCGACCUACUGACGUGGAAGGAAAUCACUCCCUCAAGGACGCGAUUUCCUUCCAUGUCAGCAGGUCGCGCUGACGUGGACGCGAUGUCCUGACACGUACCCUGACAUCGCUCUGACGUGGACGCGAUUUCCCGAAAAAUGGAUCAUUCCGGUAAAUAAUCAAAAAAUCGGUCUAUUUCGGUAAAUUUUGAAAAAAAAACGGCUUUUUUUGGUAAAUUACCCAAAAAUAUAAGCAAUUUUACAAUAUUCGUGGUGGGAACAUAUCCCAUCACCAACUUUUCAUAACUUCUUUUUCCCAUUUUAUAAAAUGUCUAUAGAUUAAGUACUGGCUCUUCAAUUUUCUAAGUAUUCAUUGUCUUACCCCUUUCUUGGGUUUGGUUUGGGAAGGUUGCUUGACUUCGUUGUGCAAUUUAAAGUCUUUCCAAUUUGUCGUUUUAGAAGUGAUCGGAAAAUUUGCACUUCUUCAUGUGCUGGAAGAAAAGUGAUUGGGUUCAAAGAAUAAAAACAGGGAUAGAUUAUUUACAUAGUUUAGUUUUUCUAUUCCUACAGAGCCUACGUUAUGAGGAAUAGUUUAGUUUAUGUUGUAAUUUCUUCCUGCAAGAUUACAAAUUUUUUUAAUGUGAUUUACGUAGAAACUACGAAAUUUAUUAUAGGAUGUGAUAAUAUAAUUCUAUAAUUAUUGCUUAAAAUUUUUCUUUCUAAAUUUCAUAUUUCUUAAGAAAUUACAGUAAUAAAUUUUACAUAGAAAUAAUAUGUAGUAUUGAAAUUAAAUUGCAGUUGUACAAAGGUUACAACUUUUUUAUUAAAUUAUUAAAAUUAUUAGAGAACAUGAUAAAAUUAAAUGAGAACCUUUUUAUCAAAGUGACAAGUGAGCAGUCACUUUGAAGAAUAUAAAUAACCCUACCGCUUGCUUAAUUUGUGUUUCUAUUGACUAAAAAAAUUUUGAACAAAAAGGAUAUUGACUAAAAAUUAAAAUAACCAUGAAAUCUUUUACAACAUUCAAUGAGGUUGAAAGAUUUUAUUUUUAAUUUUUUUUAAAUAAUAACUUAUUUGGCUUCUAAUUUUAUAAAAAAAUUAUUUUUUAUUCCUUAAAACUUAUAUUAUUUAUCAACAUUGGCUUACUCCUUCGUUGGGUUUGGUUUGGGACGGCUGCUUGACUUCGUUGUGCAAUCUAAAGUCUUUCCACUUUGUCGUUUUAAAAGUCUGCAUAUCGGAGAAUAUCACAAUUGAGAAAGAAUUAUAUAUUGCUGUGAAACUGAACGUAGUUGCUAAUAUAUACGUUAAGUGAUUAAAAACUUGGCACUUCUUCAAGUGCGGGAAGAAGUGAUUGCGAAGUUGACACUUUUUCAAGUUAUUAAAAAAAAAAAUAGGAGACACAUAUUGUUUACGUAGUUUGGUUUCUUACGUUUGCAGAUCUUAGUUUAGUGAGAAAUAUCUACUAUCUCCAACAUUUAUAAUAAGUGAUCUUAAAUCUAUCACAACCCACUACAAUUUCCUCACUUUUGUACUUUUGAAAAUCGGUACUCUCACCACUAAAUUCACUCCUGUGAACUUAAUUUAUAAAAUCACAACACACAAGUUUUACAAUCAAAUGCACUCUUACAAACAAUAUUCUUCGCUUAAACAGACUAAGUGCUCUCAAUUCUCUAUACAAUCACCUAUACAAGUCUCUCAAUUAUAAAUAGAUUUCGAGAUUUACUAACAUAAUGAAAAUCUAUAUCAAUCUCUAUUAAACAACAACUAAACUAGUUGAAUAAAUUAUAAUAAUAAAUAAGGUAAACAAGGAUUGUUGUCAGCUAAGUCUUCUACGUUCCAAUUCGAUUCAACUUCCUCGAUCCAAGCGAUUAGAUAGACAUGGUCCGAUCCAAUCCGAUCCCUUAAACAUGUUUCCUGAAGUGAUAUGAUCUGUAACACCCCAAACCCAGCCUAACGUUAUAUAUGGUCUAACAUAUAAUAAAAUUUAUUAUUUAUAAAAUAAACUAAAAAUAAAAAGAGAGAAAAGUUUGAAUAUGGUUUAAAUAUUGUUUGUGAGGUUUUUUUAAAAAAUAUUUUAUUUAUAAAAAUAUUAUUUUAAGAAAUAAAUGUUAUGUUAGAAAGAAGAGAAAAUGGGUAUUCAUGUGUAUUUAUAAUUGUGUUAUGUAUUGUUAUAAAAACUUAUGUGUUUUUAUAAAAAAAAAACUUUUACAUAUUUUGAAUUUUUAAGAAGUAAAACUACAUUGACAAAAUGUAUAAAAUUGAGAGCUAAAUUUGUUGAUUUUUUAGAGUUAAAGCUAAAUUGAUAGAAUCUGUCAACAUUGAAGGGUUAAAUUUGUUAUUAUAUUAAUAAAAAAUGCCACCGUUAAUGAUUUAACAUAGGAACAACAAAAAUAUUAAAUUUUGAUAAUGUUAAUGAAUGAAAUAAAAAAUUUUAAACUUAAAUGACCAAAAUAGAAACACACUAAUAAUUAGAUAAACUAUUUUUUUUACUUUGCCCUAGAUUUAAUAAUGUUACCCGAUUUUCCAUGAUUCCUCCAUUUUCUUACCCCUUUCUUGGGGUUGGGACCCGGCUUCACUUUAUUUGUGCAAUCUAAAGGCCUUUCAACUAUGUCAACAAUUGCUUAUGAACUUAUAAUGUGAAACCUUAAGCAAUUGGACAACGAAGCUAUCACUUUUCUUCUUCAAGGAUAAUUAAGAUGGGUCUGGCAUGGUCACUAAAUUUCCAUCACUUUUUGGCCAUUUUCUUUUCAAUGUUUUGCACAUUUUAAAAUCUCUAUACAUUCAAUAAUGCUCCCCAAUUGAAGGUUCUUCUUUUUCAAACCUCGUCUUUUCCUCGACUUUGUUGUGCAAUUUAAAGUCUUUCAGCUUUGUCGUUUGGGUAACUUAUAAAAAUAGUCACUUAAUUUUAGUUAAAUUUAUUUUCUCACUGAAUUAUAAAAAAAUUACAUUUUAGUCACUAACAGUAUCGAGUUAUAACGUUUUGGUCACUCAUCCAUUAACCGCCAUUUUAUCCUUAAGGAAAAGUGCCGUUAACUCAAGGGUUAAUAUUUAAUUUGACCUUUGAACUAUAGUUAAAACAUUCAACUUGGUCAUAAUUUAUUAAAAAAUAUUAAAAAUAAAAAAUUUAAAAUUUAUUUAUUGUUUGAUACUAUAAAAAAUAUAUAUUUUGAAAUUGUAAUUAUGUAAUGUUUUAAAAAACCAUAGAAUCCUUUAAAUUUAAAUUAUAUUAGAAAUCCUAUCACAGUUGUGCACAUGUGGCAAUCAUGAAUUUAGAACAUAGAUUUGUGUUUAAAAAUGAAAUCCAAUAAAUAAUGAAAUCGUAUAGUUUGAAACUAAUUAAUCAUAAUAACACAUGAAAUAUGUAUGAUAUUAAAGUUAAAAAAUUAGAUUAAAUUGUGAGUAAAACUAAACUUAAACAUAUAAAUACAUUAAAUUAACAAUACUAAACCAACUCAACUAAUAACAUUAUUAAUAUAUACAAUGGAUGAAGUGUGCAUAAUAAAAUUAAAUUGUAUAUGAAAAAAUCAAAAUAAAACUUUGGUUGAGUGGUUAAUUUAGGGUUUUGCUAAUGUGAUUGACGUAGAUAUUAUAAUAUGUAUAUUUUUUUUAUUUUUUUAAGAAAGUAAAAGAUUAAAGUACCCCCGAAUAAUAUAAUUUAUUUAAUUACAAAAGAACAUUUCCAUAAUUUCUCUAACCGAGUUGAUGCUCGUCUGACUCGUAAUAUCAACUCAAUCAAAGACUUAAAAUAAUGGUACAGAUAAAAAUGUAGAUUGAGUCAUGGUUAUCUGAACCUAUUGAACUGGCAAUGAUACCAGUCUGGAGAGAGGCAUUAGAUCAGUUCACUCGCAAACCAGUACAGACCAAUAUUAGAACUAGACUAAAAAACUGAUUGAAUCGUUUUUUUAAUAUUUUAAUAAUUUGUAAUCCAACUAUACAAACCAAUAUUUCAACCACCAUUUUAGUUCUAAAAACUUUGCUUAAAGUAUAUUUAAUUUUUAAUUAUUUACUUUAUAAUUCUACACAAAUACAUAAUUACCGCAGCUUCAGAACAGACGAGGACUAAGAAAAAGAAUCAGCUAAUUUUACUGAUUGCAAUUCUAUGAGUAACGCAGCAAACUUAGCUUUCUUUAAUUUCGUCUCACACUAAUAAUUUGUAUCUAUGAUUUAACUUGGACAAGAUCUUUAUCAAGUUGUUUUUUAUGCAAUUGACUAAUAAAAUUCCAUAUUGAGCCAUCGAAUUUACGAGAAAUGGAUACAACAAUGACUUCAAAAUAAAUUGGACUUUUUAUUUUGCAAUUCACUUUUAUAGUUUCAAUAAUGGCCAACCAAUUUUCCAUGACUUUUAUAGCUUGACUUAAGUUGUGCAAUCUAAAGUCUUUUUCUAAACCGUGAGAACAGAAGAAAACAUAUGAGCAGCCAUUGUUGAAGUCCCAUGUUCGGCCAACCUUCUCAUUUUACACGGUGAGUAAUUUUAAUCUUGUUUUUCAUGAAUUUUAUAUUUUUGAGAUUAUUGUAAUUUUAAUCUAGUUUAGCUAACUCGAGUGUUAAUUUUUGAAACUGUUAAAAUUUCUAAAUGUUACUAUUGAUGAAUGAUUGAUGAAAUUAGUAUUAAUUGAUUAGAUUUUUCUGCUUAGAUAUGAAAAAGGCUUAAUUAUCAAUUAUCAAUUCCAAAUAAAAAAUAUUAUUGAUAUUUUCUAUUAUGAAAACCCAUUCUCAAUGUGUUGAAUCGUUGAACAAGUAAUUUUUACUUCUAUUGUGGCAAAUUCAAUGGAGGGAGUUAUCUUCUUAUUUCUACCAUAAAAAGUUUCUCAAUAAAUUUCAUUGGGUGAAAAUUUUGAGUUAGAUUAGAGUGCUUCAAAAUCUCAUGGCAAUUAACAAAUUACGUGAAUGUGUGUGAAAAUAGGAAGGAUAUUAGUAGUUCACCUCUAAUUGCUUAGGCAUGAUACUCGUUGUGAAAAUAGGAAGUUUCUCAACAAUUCCCAUGAUACUCGUUGGAUAACUCGAUCAUUUUUUUUACAGGAUGUAAACUUUUCUAAAUGAUAAGGAAAGGAAAAGAAAACUUAGGCAAUUCAAUUUAAGUAGUUCACAUUUAAUUGCCUACCUCCACUUAGUAUCCUUUAAUCAAAUAAUUUCUCAAAUUACUAUAAGAAUUUGUACCUUUCGAGGAGAAGGUAUAACAUUUACAACACUAUCUUUUUCUUAAAGCUUAGAUAUAACCUUUCCCUCUAGCUUUUAUAGUUGUUGUAUAGUCGUCGUUGGCAAGUCAUGUCUCGAGACAAUUUAUCAAUUGUCUUUAGACACACUGCACUAUAUCUCAAGACAAGCAGCUCCUAUCAAUUGGUACAAGCCAGUAUGAACUAGUAUAAGUUAGUAUUGACUGAAACGAGCUUAAACAUACUGGAAUUGUCAAAACACAUCAAAAUCUUAACCAUAAUGAAACCUAUACUAUUUAGUAUUGGUUGAAGACCAAAAAGAUACGCAUCGAGUGUGUUAAAUGUUGAUGUCCUUUUUAUGUACUGUUUAUAUUUUUGUUCUUUUAAUAAUAUUUGUUUGGCUUAUAAAAAUUAUUUUUAUUAAAAUAAAAUAAAUGAAAAGCUUAUGCAAAGACUGAAAAAAGAUAUCAAAAUUUGCUAUGUUUUGAUAUUGGGCAUUUAAUAAUUUGUACCUAUAUUUAAAAAAAAUUUGUACCAAUACAAUUUCAUAAAAUUAGUACAAAUGGUCAUCAAAAUUCAGCGUAACUUCCUAAAUAUAUUGCUAAUUGAUAUAAUUGAGAACGGUUAUGCGGUUGAUAAUAAUCUUUUUGAACUUCGUUUAGUACAUGAUUUAUGCAAGUAAUAUUGGCAACUUAAGUUUCGGCAUGUCCUGCGAGAACAUAAGAGACUGACAGAUUGCAUGACCAAAGUUGUUCCUAGUAAUCUUAAUAGGUUAACAACUUUUGAAGACCCAGCUAAUCAUGCUCGAUCUUUGUUAGAAGAAGAUGCUCAUCGAGCAAUGAUUAAUAUAGACUCUCAUCAACCUAAUUGUAGCUAAUUCCUUGAACUUGUUUCUUUUUUAAAAAAAUUCACAAAAUGCAGAAAUAACUAUUAAUAAACUUUAUAGGAAAACAGAGCAUCUGUAUAAAUAUUUAUCAAAGACAUUGCUAGAAAGCAAAGCUUAUGUUUAUUUUAGUCAAUUUAACAAUGGCCACUUCAUCGAACGCGUUGCAUAUCCCUUGAUAACUUUACUUUGAUCUUCUUUAACUUUGUAACAACCUCUUUCAUAUGAAGCCUCUCAUUUGGUAACUCUGCAGAACAUUCUAAGCCAACUUGCAAAAUGGAUAAGGCACAAUUCUUGACUUUUAAAUGUUCCCUUCCAAUGGUGCUCAACAACUUGGGAUCUACAACUUGAUUUCGCGAAGAUGAUAUCGACUCUAUCACCCAACUAUUCAAGCUUCUUUCUNNNNNNNNNNNNNNNNNNNNNNNNNNNNNNNNNNNNNNNNNNNNNNNNNNNNNNNNNNNNNNNNNNNNNNNNNNNNNNNNNNNNNNNNNNNNNNNNNNNNACAUUUUAUCUGUGGGCUUUUUUCUUGUGAUGAUUUCCAUCAAAAGAAUACCAAAGCUAUACACAUCACCUUUUGUCGAAACAAUUCCUUCGAUUCCAUAUUCUGUGUAUGAAUAUAAAAACAACAUUAUGAAUAUUCAAAGAUAUCUUGAUAAUGAAAAAUCCGUAUAAAAUGUACGAAACAUUAUAUGCUUGCAUGUUAUAAUUGAACUGGGAUUUAAUCUAGUUGCUUCCUUAAAAAGUCACAUUUAAUAUGUUUGAAACUCAAAUCUUAACAUAUAUGAUCCCUUUUGUUAUGCACAUGCUACGCUUACAUUGAAAAUGGAAAAAUAAACAUGGAGUUUGAUUAGAAGUAUCACCUGGUGCCAUAUAUCCGAAUGUUGCCAUUGUCAUGGUUUGUAUCAUUGAAACCUCUUCACGUAAGAGUUUCGCGAUGCCAAAAUCACUCAAAUGAGCAACCAUAUCUUCAUCUAAUAGAACAUUGUUGGGUUUUAAAUCACAGUGAACCACGGGUGUUGCAUUACCAUGGUGGAGAUAUUCCAAUGCAGAUGCAACAUCUAUCAUUAUGUUCAACCUUUGUAGGAUAUCCAAAUAUUGGUUGUUGGAAUACAACCAUUUAUCAAGACUCCCAUUAGGCAUGAACUCAAGCACCAACGCUUUGAAAUUAAGAUCAUUAGAGCAACUGCUUAUUACUUUGACUAAAUUUCUGUGACGAGUGUUGCAGAGAACAUCACAUUCAACAUCAAAGCUCUUAAAAGCUCCUUCUAACUCUAACUUGAAGACCUUUACCGCAAUUACCGUCCCAUCCUGGAGAGUCCCUUGGAAUAGUGAACCAUAACUUCCAUUACCAAGCAACCUACUACCAUUGAAUCCAUCAGUAGCUUGACGAAGCUCGUGGUAUGAAAACCGUCUCCACGUUCCUAAAGGUAUCAUGUCUUCUUGAGUUGGCAAUUUGUCUUUCCUCCUAUUUUGCAAGAUAAUGAUUAUCAGAGCCACAACCAAAAUUGUGGAGGCAAUUGGCAGAGCUACAUAUAUUAUGAGCUUCAGCUUAGUUUUUGCCUUGGAAUUUCUAAGAGGUCUUGUUUUGCAGUUUGGAACAUGAAGUCGAGUUGCACCACACAAGGCUUCAUUACCCUUAAAUGAUUCGAUUGUGUAGUUUCCAAAUGAUCCUCCUUCAGGAAUUUUUCCUUCAAGUCUAUUAAAAGAGACAUUGAAAUAUUUGAGAUAACGGAGUUUCUUUAAGGAUUUGGGAAUCUCUCCAGAUAGAUUAUUUCUUGACAAGUCCAAGAAUUCCAAACUCAACAAUUCAUCAAAAGACUCAGGAAUAGAACCCAUGAUUCUAUUAUUGGACAAGGAAAAAUGAGUGAGGUCCUUGAGAUCUGCAACUCCAGUUGGGAUAUCACCUGAGAACUGAUUGUUCGACAAAUCCAAACUAGUCAAAACUUUCCAUUUUCCAAUGUCAGUUGGCAGUGGACCACUUAGAGAAUUUGAAGACAAGUAUAGGAUGAGGAGAUAGUUAAGCCUUGUCAACGUGGAAGGUAUUGAGGAGGAAAACUUAUUGGAGUCUAGAAAUAGUUGCCUUAAUGAAGUGAGAUCACCUAAGCAAGCAGGUAUUGGUCCAGACAAUUUGUUAUUGGUCAAGAACAAGAAAGCCAAUUUGUUUAGAUGACAUAACUGAGAUGGGAUGGAUCCUUCUAACUUAUUGUCUUUAAGAGAAAGACUUUGCAACUCUUCCAAUCCACCAAUUGUAGUAGGAAUCUGUCCUAUCAAUUUAUUGCCUCCGAGAUCAAUGCUUAUCAAGUGACUUAAGUUUCCAAUUUCAUUGGGGAUGCUACCCCUGAUGUUGCAUGAAUAAGCAGAGAACUCUUCAAGAGAACUUGAGACAUUUCCUACCACUCUUGGAAGUUCACCACUAAUAAAUGGGUUGCUAUCGAAAAGAAAGUUCGAGCCGACAAGGUGAUUGCUAGCAAGAUAUAAUUGCUCCAUGUUUGGAAGUAAAAGGCCCAUGUUUGAUGGAAGAUGGCCAGAGAGCUGAUUUAUAUCCAAAGCAAUCAUCCUUAAAGUUGAAAUAUUAAAUACAUGUGGAGGGAUAGAACCAGUAAGAUUGUUAAAGUCUAAAUCCAACCAAUUUAGAUUCUUUAGGUUGCCAAUCUCACGUGGUAUUAUACCUGCCACAAAUUUUAUCAAACAAAAAUAUUAGACAAAUAUGAGGAAGAAAAUAGUUUAUAUAUAUGAAACAUUUGCUUAUAUUUUUUAUAAUGUGUACAACCAUAGACAAUUAGUGUAUCAAAUAUGAAUCAACAAUAUUUACAAAAAAAAUUAAUUCACAAUAAAAUUGUUUUUAUAGAGCGCUUGCAAAUAUUAAAGUACUUCAAGUAAUUUUAAAUUGAAUUUUUUAGGUUUAAAGUUGGAAUAAGUUCAAAAUGAGAAGGGAUUGUAUGAAAUUACAAUUCUAUGUCAUCUUUAUCCCUUAUAGGAGAAUAACAACUCAGAUUUUUCCUCCUAAUUUUUAGCUUUUUCUUCUUGAAAAAAUUUAAAAUCCAACUAAAAAAGUUAAAAAUUAAGAGGAAAAAUCUGAUUUAUCAUUCUCUUAUUGGAAAGGGAUAGAGAUUACGUAGAAUCACAGUUUCAUACAAUCACUUCUCAUUCAAGUUAUAGAAAAUAAUGAUGAAAUAAAUGAUAAAGAACAAACAUUUAUAAGUCAAAUAAAAUAAUUAAGAACAUAAUGGUGAAUUAAAUUUGUUUUCCUUUUAUCUGAUUUGAUAAAUUUAAAAUUUUUAAGAACAUAAAAAUAAAUCAAAUAUGAUUUUUGGUCCCUUGGAGUUUUGUUUGGCCUCAACAGGGGUAAAUGUAAAUAAUGGACUUAAAAAAAAAAGAAAUAUACUAAUUGCAAUGACUAUGAAAAAUUUUAUAAUUAUUGUAGAAUAAUCAAAACACAGAAAGCGGUUGAGCAAAAUAAAGUUCAAAUUAAUAAAAACUAUCAGUAAAAGUUGCAAAUUAAUAAAAAUAAUUUGGAAAUAAUUUAACUCUUUCUUAUACAUUCACCUGUAAAAUUGCUAUGGGAACAAUCAAACGACAUAAGAAGAGUUAAAUUCACAAUUUGUUUAGGAAUUUCACCUGCAAUUAUAAAAUUCACAUAUCAAAUUAAAAAUUCAUCUCCUAGCAAGGAUUAUAAUAAUAAAAUUAAGGUAUAAUGGCUUAUUUAGCUCUUCAAUUUUAUUAAAAAGAAUCAUUUUAGUCUUUCAUUUAAUUUUUCAUCUCUUUUAGCCCUUAAACUUGCAAUGUUUGUCAAAUCAUCCCAAAAUGAAUUGAAAAUUCCAUGUGUAUGCCACAUCAACAAUUAAUUUUUAAAAUUUUAAAAAAAUUCUAUUUUAUUACUAACGUGUCAGCAAAGUAAACAAACAUUAACUUUUCCAUACAUUUUUUGGGCUGAUAUAACAAACAAUACAAGUUCAAGAGCUAAAAGAAACGGAAAAUUAAAUAAAAAAUUAAAAUGAUUUUUUUUAUAAAGUUGAAGGGCUAAAUAAAUAAUUAUUUCUAAAGUAAACAAAGCACGUUAGCAAGGUAUUUCACAUCAUAUUAGGUGUCAUACACACUUCCAAGUCAAGUUGGAACUAAAAGAAUAUUUCUCUCAUCAUUUUGUCGUAGUUUAUUCUUCAAUCUUCUUUUGAAAAAUUUCAACUAUGUAUUCGUUUAAUAAAUAAAUUUAUAUUUUCAAUCUCAAUAUCUAAAUUAUUAUAUUCAUUACCUUAAUUUCUUUUCAAAAAAACAAAAAAAAAAAUCGUUCCUUGCAUCUCAAUGUACUUAAAAAAAAAAGUAAACACUUCAAAAGGUUUUAAAAAUGGUUAGCAUAUAUUACCUUCAAAGUGGUUCCGACCAAUAGCGAUGUCUUGAAGCAGGCUCAAAUUCCCAAUUUCUAUUGGUAGGCUCCCCUCCAUUUGGUUAUACGAUAAAGCUAACACUUGUAACUCUUUGCACUUGAAUAGACUGGCAGGAAUUCUACCAGAAAGCAGGUUAAGACUCCAGUACAAUCCUUUCAAAUUUGGAAGAUGAUCAAACAUAUCUUUUGGGAUAUGACCAGUGAGAUUAUUGGAGGUGAAAUCGAUGACUUCUAGCAAAAGCAAAUCACGUGGAAC